CGGGCCGUAGCGCAGCCUGGUAGCGCGCUUGCUUGGGGUGCAAGAGGUCCCGAGUUCAAAUCUCGGCGGCCCGACCA
Molecule: transfer RNA, 77 nt
Filed under: Bryobacterales bacterium
Lineage: Bacteria; Pseudomonadati; Acidobacteriota; Terriglobia; Bryobacterales
Also listed under: 3 other names
Description: tRNA-Pro
Rfam family: tRNA
About the family: Transfer RNA (tRNA) molecules are approximately 80 nucleotides in length.
Source: RNAcentral